This 444-nucleotide ribosomal RNA is filed under the name uncultured bacterium. RNAcentral describes it as "bacterial SSU rRNA". It matches the Rfam family "Bacterial small subunit ribosomal RNA", at positions 331 to 793 of the family's 1533-position model. The record is from RNAcentral.
CCAGACUCCUACGGGAGGCAGCAGUGGGGGAUAUUGCACAAUGGGGGGAACCCUGAUGCAGCGACGCCGCGUGAGCGAAGAAGUACCUCGGUAUGUAAAGCUCUAUCAGCAGGGAAGAAAAUGACGGUACCUGACUAAGAAGCCCCGGCUAAAUACGUGCCAGCAGCCGCGGUAAUACGUAUGGGGCAAGCGUUAUCCGGAUUUACUGGGUGUAAAGGGAGCGUAGGCGGGGAUGCAAGUUGGGUGUUAAAUCUACCGGCUCAACUGGUAGUCGCACUCAAAACUGCAGCUCUUGAGUGAAGUAGAGGCAGGCGGAAUUCCUAGUGUAGCGGUGAAAUGCGUAGAUAUUAGGAGGAACACCAGUGGCGAAGGCGGCUUACUGGACUGUAACUGACGUUGAGGCUCGAAAGCGUGGGGAGCAAACAGGAUUAGAUACCCGCGUAC